This 1653-nucleotide long non-coding RNA is filed under the name Ficedula albicollis (Collared flycatcher). Its description in RNAcentral is "lncRNA (ENSFALG00000027928.1)". Lineage: Eukaryota; Metazoa; Chordata; Aves; Passeriformes; Muscicapidae. The record is from RNAcentral.
UAUAUAGUGAACAUGAAGCUUGUGGUGGAGAAUAUCCCUUUGGGCAGUUUGGAUCAGCUGUUCCAGCUGUGCCCCUUGCUUUGUGCAGCUCCUCACUGGCAGUAUGAGCUGCUGAAGAGUCCUUGGUGUGGGGUGAGCACAACUGGGCAACAGCCAGAACAUCAGAGCAUUAUCAACAUCAUUCUCAUCCUAAAUCCAAAACACAGUGCUGUGCCAGCUUCUGAGGAGAAAAUUAUCUCUGUCCCAGCAGAAACCAGGACAAAGUUAUAGGACUGUACUUACUGAAGAGUUAGAAGAUGCAGGCACACCUGAUGAAAAAGUAAACAGUGCUGGAGAAGAGAAUUUGAACCUCAGAAUAAAAGAGCUGGAAAAGUCAGAGCAAAAACUGAAAGGUGUUCUAGAGGACUACGUGGAGUCAGAUUCCAUCCUAAGAAAUAGGAUGAAAGAGCUGGAGCUGUCAAACAAAACACUUCUUGUGAUGAUUGAUCAACUUUAUGUGAAGCUGGACCAGGUUGAAAAUGCCAAUGUGCGCAUUAAAGGGAAACUGCGAGAUAUUCAGGAGGACCUGAUCAGCUUGGUUGAAAACCAAAAGAAGUCAGAGAAGAAGCACAAGGAAAAAUUGCAUUGGCUUCAGGAGCAGCUGAAGACAAAAGAGGAUGAAAUAAAAAGCCAGUCAGAAUAUUUUGAGCACUACAAACAAAGGCAGAGACAACAGACAGCAGUACUGAGGAAAAGGGACUGUUACCUUCAGGGUGAGGUAUCUAGGCUGGAAAAGCAAGUCCUAGAUCUUAAUGCCCAUAUUGCUCUUUUGACAUCCAAGUUUGAAGAGGCAGUGGUGCAGCACCUCCAGCAGAAGCUGCAGUCAGUGUGCAGUGGGACUCAGGGCUGUAAAUAUUCUGGCAUGGAAGAAAUGGAAUGGAAGACUUGUAUUGAAAAUGUGGAACAUGAUGUGAAAAGCCACCUCAAGGCAUUUCAGCAAAACCUGAAGCUCUUGAGGGAAAAAGAAGAGGACACUAGAAGAGAACGGGCAGACCUGCUGACUGAACUGCAGUGCUCUCAGAACACUGAAGACUUUCUCAGAACAAAAGUGGAAGAAUCUCACCAUAGUGUCUAUAGUUUAAAAUUAUCUGAAAUCAAACUACAGGAAAAAGUGGAAGAGCUUUUAGAUGAAAACAGAACUUUAAAAGAUCAAGGUACUGUGAAGUUGAAAAAGAAGAAAGAAAAAGAACUUACAAGAUUGGUGGAUGGAGACAAUAGUCUUAACCUGAAUGGAGAUCCAGUUCAGGAUGAAGUUCAGAAUCUGAAAUGGAGAGCAGUCUUGGAUUCACUCAGAAGCAGAGCUACUCAAACUCCAGUUGUGCUGCUACAUGAUAAAGAGUCUGAAACACCAGCCUGUAGUUGUGAUGGACUAAAGCAUACGGAGGAGCAACCAGAAGAACUUGUGCCAGUUUUGGAAUGCAGUUCUAGUGCUGUUGCAAAAGUUGCUGGUCUAGCUGAGACUGAGCAGGUGAGAAGAAAAGUUACUGCUGUUCUUGCUAUCUUUGUGCACAGGGAGCAUGUGAAAUUGGAGAGAAAGUGAAGAGUUGGUGCAUUUUAAGGUGAAUAUAAAAGUAGCUUUAAAUCAUAGCUGUUACAGAUGCUUUACAAGGUGAG